GUGUCAGCCGCCGCGGUAAUACGUAGGGUGCGAGCGUUAAUCGGAAUUACUGGGCGUAAAGCGUGCGCAGGCGGUUGUGCAAGACAGAUGUGAAAUCCCCGGGCUUAACCUGGGAAUUGCAUUUGUGACUGCACGGCUAGAGUGUGUCAGAGGGAGGUAGAAUUCCACGUGUAGCAGUGAAAUGCGUAGAUAUGUGGAGGAAUACCGAUGGCGAAGGCAGCCUCCUGGGAUAACACUGACGCUCAUGCACGAAAGCGUGGGGAGCAAACAGGAUUAGAAACCCCAGUAGUCC
This 292-nucleotide ribosomal RNA is filed under the name uncultured bacterium. Its description in RNAcentral is "partial 16S ribosomal RNA". It matches the Rfam family "Bacterial small subunit ribosomal RNA", at positions 505 to 796 of the family's 1533-position model. The record is from RNAcentral.